Non-coding RNA from Cyanistes caeruleus (blue tit), 695 nucleotides. The record is from RefSeq and is a predicted model, not a curated record. NCBI's taxonomy places the organism in Eukaryota, Metazoa, Chordata, Aves, Passeriformes, Paridae.
GGAACCCGAGUCAUGGAAUGGUUGGGGCUGUGCGGGAGCAGCGAACUCCCCUCACGGAACCGGAGUCAUGGAAUGGUUGGGGCUGUGCGGGAGCAGCGAACUCCCCUCACGGAACCCGAGUCAUGGAAUGGUUGGGGCUGUGCGGGAGCGGUGAGCUCCCCUCACGGAACCAGAGCCACGGGAUGGCUGGGGCUGUGCGGGAGUAGGGAGCUCUCCUCACGGAACCGGAGUCACGGAGGGGUUGAGGCUGAAGGAUGGCUGAACAAACCCAAUUCUCUCAGCCUUUCCUCAUGGGAGAGGUGCUCCAUCCCUCUGAUCAUCUUGUUGGUCUCCUCUGGAUUCGCUCCAACAGAUCGAUGUCCUUCCCGUACUGGGGACCCCAGAGCUGGAUGCAGUGUUCCAGGGAUUUCAGUUUGGGUCAGUGGCUCCUAUAGCAUGGAAAAAUACACUCCCUUUAUUUUGCAUUUUGUGACCAUCGGAUUUAGUGAGCUCUGUGUCUCCAGUUCCAAGACUUGUGUCUCUUCAUAACUGGAACUGCUGCACACAGGGAGAAAUGCUGCGGUGACAAACUGUCCCCCUGUGCAGACCUCCUGCUUCAUCUGUCUUCUUGGACCACCCUAUGGCAACCUCUGAACACAGUCUUGCUGCUACUGCAAACCACCUCUGAAACAAAAGAUUUUGCAAGAAUGAACAAA